ACAAACGUUUGGAAACUUCUAAGACCUCGGAUCUCCCAGCACCUGAAGCUUGGUGCAUCAGCUGUGAUGGGGGCAUGAAAGCCCAUCGACCUUCUCCUUCCCUUCGUCCUCCUGCAGAUAAUGCCCUAAUUCAAGGAGUGACUCCAGUGGAGGGGACUCCAGGCACCACACUGCAGAUUCCUUUGAAGAAGCUGACAAAUUUAUUCAAAAAUUUACAUGAGAAUGCAAGGGACCCAGAUUAGCUAAACAAUUUUGGAAAGAACAGAGGUGGAGGACUUAUGCUAAUCAACUCCAAAACCAGCUAGAAAGCCACAGCAAAGUACAACAUUGGC
Long non-coding RNA from Symphalangus syndactylus (siamang), 332 nucleotides. RefSeq lists it as uncharacterized. The record is from RefSeq and is a predicted model, not a curated record. Lineage: Eukaryota; Metazoa; Chordata; Mammalia; Primates; Hylobatidae.